This 269-nucleotide ribosomal RNA is filed under the name uncultured prokaryote. Its description in RNAcentral is "partial 16S ribosomal RNA". It matches the Rfam family "Bacterial small subunit ribosomal RNA", at positions 524 to 792 of the family's 1533-position model. The record is from RNAcentral.
UACGUAGGUGGCGAGCGUUGUCCGGAUUUACUGGGCGUAAAGGGAGCGUAGGCGGACUUUUAAGUGAGAUGUGAAAUACCCGGGCUCAACUUGGGUGCUGCAUUUCAAACUGGAAGUCUAGAGUGCAGGAGAGGAGAAUGGAAUUCCUAGUGUAGCGGUGAAAUGCGUAGAGAUUAGGAAGAACACCAGUGGCGAAGGCGAUUCUCUGGACUGUAAUUGACACUGAGGCGCGAAAGCGUGGGGAGCAAACAGGAUUAGAUACCCGUGUA